UGGUUACAGCAGUGUUUCUAUUUAUUUUAUUUUAUUUUCUAAUUUCAGAUGAGGACAUGCCUUCAGACAAUGGAUUCUCUCAAAGUUAUCCUCCCCAGGGAACUGGUUUCAGAUGGUGUCUUAGAGUACAAAAUCCCAUCUAGCACCAUUUGAAAUCGGUGUUCUUGAGUGGGAACACACUUCGGGAGUGAUGUCACUGAACCAUAUUCUUCAUUAGGUUGACAGAAAGUUUACUGCAUUGUUUGUGUCAUAAAUUUAGAUGUAGCUCCAGAUUUCUUGUACAUUUCUCCAUGUAAUAUUCCAAUCCUAAUGCUCAGUAAAUCAGAAAAAAACACCAGUUUGAUCCCAGUUCUCUGACCACUAGACCCCCCUCUCCCCCUCUUACCAAGGCUGACCGUUUUCCUCUGGUGUUCAGAGUUUCCAUCAUGUCUAGCACCAUUUGAAAUCGGUUACAAUGUGGAGGGACUAUCAACAAAGAUUUUGCUUCAGUUGCAGAUGGAAUUCCACUAGAUGGCAGCAUUGCUCUACAAUCUCCAGAAUUGUCCAGGCUUGCCAAUAAAGAAUUCUUGAAGCAGUAUAUUAUUUUAGGGUCUUUGCCUUAUGAUAUAAAGCCUGUUGAGGCAGCUGUUGUUGUGAUUUGGUGUUAUAUUACUGAACUGAACUGACAGUGAAAGAUUUUCUGAGUAACCCUGUUCAUUCAGGAGACCAAGAAGAAACGUGCAGGGUGAAGCAAAACUUUUUGAAAGGAUUAAAAAGGAAAAAAGACCCUUUGCCAUGUUCCAGUCACUCAGCCAUGUUAUCUGCAAAUUACAGACAUGUCUUCUGAGUUUCUUCCAAGAACAUAAAAAAGGGAUUAUAUGCUUCAGUGGUUAACUGGUCCAGAUGUUGUGGUAUAGGGUUCAUGUAGUUCUUUAAAAUGUACAUCUGUCCUUUAGUCAUCGAAACUGUGUAUUGCAUUUAAAUUAUGCACAUGACAGUUUUUCUAAACAGUUUUAGCCUGACACUAACACUAUCAAUAUUAUCUAAUUAUGUGUAAUAUAUUUUGUUUUUAAACUUUUUGGAUUAAUUUAGUAGCAACACCAUACUGUUUUUAGGGAGAGAGAAGCUCAGCAUCAGCCGCUGAAUCAUUUUUUAAUUAUAGCCUACAGUUUAUCCAGUGUUCAUGCAGGAUUUGUUUUUCUUGUUUAUGAGCUUUAAGCUAAAUUAUUGCAUGUAAUCAUAUAAUACGUGCCUGACAGACUCUCACGCGCUUCAUUUACCUGGACACUAGAUGGGGAACAAGAACCAGUAUUAGCCUAAAACAUUAAGCCACUAAAUGGCAACCUUUUCACCCUCUACACCUCACGUAGCUGACAUAUGCAUUAAAACUGGGGUCUUUUUGAAUAAAUUACUGAAAAUUCUUAAUUAAAAUUUCUGAGUGAUUAACCUCACCUAAGAGGGUUCAGAAAUGCAUAAUUUGAAAAGGUUAAUAGUAGGUUGCCAGGAAUCAAUCUAACCACUACAUAAAGAUUAAUUUAAGUCUGUAUUUACAUCACAAAUCAGACUAAAUUGACCACUAUAUAGAUAUUCUUUUCUCGUUACCCACCUAUUUACACUUAAAGAGUCAUAUUUCAUACUAUAUUAUGUGAAGUAUCAAAACUGACAUGAUAAAAAAGUGCACAGGCUGCC
Astatotilapia calliptera (eastern happy) is the source of this 1668-nucleotide long non-coding RNA. NCBI's taxonomy places the organism in Eukaryota, Metazoa, Chordata, Actinopteri, Cichliformes, Cichlidae. The record is from Ensembl.